GCUGGGCACGGGAUGCGUGCCUGUCAUCCCAGCAACUUGGGAGGCUGAGGCAGGAGGAUGUGAGUUCAAAGCCAGCCUCAGCAAAAGUGAGGCCCUGAGCAACUCAGUGAGACCCUGUCUCUA
This 123-nucleotide small RNA is filed under the name Marmota monax (woodchuck). Lineage: Eukaryota; Metazoa; Chordata; Mammalia; Rodentia; Sciuridae. The record is from RNAcentral.